AGAGUUUGAUCAUGGCUCAGAACGAACGUUAGCGGCGCGCCUAAGACAUGCAAGUCGAGCGAGAAAGGGAUUCGUCCCCGGUAAAGCGGCGCACGGGUGAGUAACACGUAGGUCAUCGACCCUCGAGUGGUGGAUAACCCUCCGAAAGGAGGGCUAAUACAGCAUGAUGCUAGCAAUAGCCAAAGCGGGCCUCUUCAUGAAAGCUCGCGCUAGAGGACGAGCCUGCGGCCCAUCAGGUAGUUGGCGGAGUAAUAGCCCACCAAGCCAUAGACGGGUAGCUGGUCUGAGAGGAUGAACAGCCACACUGGAGCUGAGACACGGUCCAGACUCCUACGGGAGGCAGCAGUCGGGAAUCUUCCGCAAUGGGCGAAAGCCUGACGGAGCGACGCCGCGUGAGCGAUGAAGGCCUUCGGGUUGUAAAGCUCUGUGGGGAGAGAAGAAUAAGUUCAGGCGAAUACCCUGAAUGAUGACGGUAUCUCCUUAGCAAGCACCGGCUAACUCUGUGCCAGCAGCCGCGGUAAGACAGAGGGUGCAAACGUUGUUCGGAUUUACUGGGCGUAAAGCGUGUGUAGGCGGCUUCGUAAGUUGGAUGUGAAAUCCCACGGCUCAACCGUGGACGUGCAUCCAAAACUACGUCGCUGGAGUCUCGGAGAGGAAGGUGGAAUGCUUGGUGUAGAGGUGAAAUUCGUAGAUAUCAAGC
RNAcentral lists this ribosomal RNA (700 nucleotides) under uncultured bacterium. RNAcentral describes it as "bacterial SSU rRNA". It matches the Rfam family "Bacterial small subunit ribosomal RNA", at positions 8 to 702 of the family's 1533-position model. The record is from RNAcentral.